CAGCAGCCGCGGGAAUACGGAGGGUGCAAGCGUUAAUCGGAAUUACUGGGCGUAAAGCGCACGCAGGCGGUCUGUCAAGUCAGAUGUGAAAUCCCCGGGCUUAUCCUGGGAACUGCAUUUGAAACUGGCAGGCUAGAGUCUUGUAGAGGGGGGUAGAAUUCCAGGUGUAGCGGUGAAAUGCGUAGAGAUCUGGAGGAAUACCGGUGGCGAAGGCGGCCCCCUGGACGAAGACUGACGCUCAGGUGCGAAAGCGUGGGGAGCAAACAGGAUUAGAUACCCGGGUAGUCCCUGUCUCUUAUAC
RNAcentral lists this ribosomal RNA (301 nucleotides) under uncultured bacterium. RNAcentral describes it as "partial 16S ribosomal RNA". It matches the Rfam family "Bacterial small subunit ribosomal RNA", at positions 509 to 807 of the family's 1533-position model. The record is from RNAcentral.